RNAcentral lists this ribosomal RNA (505 nucleotides) under uncultured soil bacterium. Its description in RNAcentral is "bacterial SSU rRNA". It matches the Rfam family "Bacterial small subunit ribosomal RNA", at positions 26 to 523 of the family's 1533-position model. The record is from RNAcentral.
AGAGUGAACGCUGGCGGUAGGCCUAACACAUGCAAGUCGAACGGCAGCACAGGAGAGCUUGCUCUCUGGGUGGCGAGUGGCGGACGGGUGAGGAAUACAUCGGAAUCUACCUUUUCGUGGGGGAUAACGUAGGGAAACUUACGCUAAUACCGCAUACGUCCUACGGGAGAAAGCGGGGGACCUUCGGGCCUCGCGCCAUUAGAUGAGCCUAGGUCGGAUUAGCUAGUUGGUGAGGUAAUGGCUCACCAAGGCGACGAUCCGUAACUGGUCUGAGAGGAUGAUCAGUCACACUGGAACUGAGACACGGUCCAGACUCCUACGGGAGGCAGCAGUGGGAAUAUUGGACAAUGGGCGAAAGCCUGAUCCAGCCAUGCCGCGUGUGUGAAGAAGGUCUUCGGAUUGUAAAGCACUUUAAGUUGGAGAAGGUUGUAACUUAAUACGUUGCAACUUUGACGUUUACGACAGAAUAAGCAACCGGCUAAACUCGUGCCAGCAGCCGCGGUAA